Molecule: ribosomal RNA, 473 nt
Filed under: Lachnospiraceae bacterium canine oral taxon 024
Lineage: Bacteria; Bacillati; Bacillota; Clostridia; Lachnospirales; Lachnospiraceae
Description: bacterial SSU rRNA
Rfam family: Bacterial small subunit ribosomal RNA
Source: RNAcentral
GAGUUUGAUCAUGGCUCAGGAUGAACGCUGGCGGCGUGUCUAACACAUGCAAGUCGAACGAAGCGUAUAGAAGGAAGUUUUCGGAUGGAAUUUUAUAUGACUUAGUGGCGGACGGGUGAGUAACGCGUGGAUAAUCUGCCUUACACAGCGGGAUAACAAGUGGAAACAGUUGCUAAUACCGCAUAAGCACACAAUAUCGCAUGAUAAAGGGUGAAAAGAUUUAUCGGUGUAAGAUGAGUCCGCGUCCCAUUAGCUAGUUGGUGAGGUAAAGGCUUACCAAGGCGACGAUGGGUAGCCGGCCUGAGAGGGUGAACGGCCACAUUGGGACUGAGACACGGCCCAGACUCCUACGGGAGGCAGCAGUGGGGGAUAUUGCACAAUGGGCGAAAGCCUGAUGCAGCGACGCCGCGUGAAGGAAGAGGUAUUUCGGUAUGUAAACUUCUAUCAGCAGGGAAGAAAAGGACGGUACCUGA